AUGGCAGAUGACACUGGUGCAGCGGGGAUCCCGGAGGCCCCAGGUGCCCCGGGAUGGGGAACUGCAGUGGCUUCCGCCGAGGCUUCCACAGUGGCAUCUGGGGCAAGGGAUAAGGAGUGGAUGCUGGUCGCCAAGCUGGGCCUCCUGGUCAAGGUCAUGAAGAUCAAGUCCUUGGAGGAGAUCUGUCUCUUCUCCCUGUCCAUCAAGGAAUCUGAGAUCACUGACUUUUUCCUGGGAGUCUCUUACAAGGAUGAGGUUUUGAAGAUUAUGCCGGUGCAGAAGCAGACCCGAGCUGGCCAGCGCACCAGGUUCAAGGUGUUUGUUGCCAUUGGGGACUACAAUGGCCACGUCGGUCUGGGUGUUAAGUGCUCUAAGGAGGUGGCCAUUGCCAUCCGCGGGGCCAUCAUCCUGGCUAAGCUCUCCAUUGUCCCAGUCCGCAGAGGCUGCUGGGGGAACAAGAUUGGCACGCCCCACAUGGUCCCUUGCAAGGUGACAGGCCACUGCGGCUCUGUGCUGGUUCGCUUCAUCCCCGCGCCCAGGGGCACUGGCAUUGUCUUGGCACCUGUGCCCCAGAUGCUGCUCAUGAUGGCUGGUGUCGAUGACUGCUACGGCUCAGCCAGGGGCUGCACUGCCACCCGGGGCAACUUCGCCAAGGCCACCUUUGAUGCCAUCUCUAAGGCCUACAGCCGCCUGACUCCCAGCCUUUGGAAGGAGAUGGUAUUCACCGAGUCUCCCUAUCAGGAAUUCACUGACCACCUUGUCAAGGCCCGUGCCAGAGUCGCUGUGCAGAGGACCCAGGCUCCAGCUGUGGCUACAACAUAGAGUUUUUAUACAAGAAUAAUAAAUUGAAUUAACUCUGAAAAACAAAAAUGUUACGAUAUACACAUUAUAUCUUAGUAGAACGGUUAGGCCGGAUCAGAAAGCUAAAUACCGCGCAUUCUCACUUGUAAGUGGGAGCUAAACGUUGAGUAUUUAGGGAGGGAAAGAUGGAGACAACAGAAACUAGGUAUUUCUGAAGGGGGGAGGGAAGGAAAGAGGGGACAAGGGUUGAAAAACUGUUGGGUACUAUGCUCAGUACCUGGUGACAGGAUAAGUCGUAACACAAACCUCAGCAUCAUGCAAUAUACCCAGGUAACAAACCUGUACAUGUACCCCCUAAAUCUAAAAUGAAAGUCGAAAAAAAUAAAACGAAAUAAAGCUAUUAAAUAAAAAGUGGAGACCUGGGGAUAGCCACAAGAGGGCGCACUGAGCACAGGCUUACCUCCUCCCUUGGGAACUGAGUUUCUUGGCCACACCUUCGAGGCCCUGGCCACGCCUCCAGGACUCUGGCCACACCCCCAAGGCUCUGGCACUGCACCUAGACCUUAACCACAGGCUAAGGUCCUGGUCGAACCCUCAAAGCAGUGUCUGAAGCAGCUCAUUCACGUUGCCAACUCCCCAGACUCUGACCACAAAUGCAUGCACAGACUUAGAGAUCCUUGGAAACACAGAACCUUAAA
Molecule: RNA transcript, 1499 nt
Organism: Sapajus apella (tufted capuchin)
Lineage: Eukaryota; Metazoa; Chordata; Mammalia; Primates; Cebidae
Gene name: 40S ribosomal protein S2 pseudogene
Exons: 1
Source: RefSeq, a predicted model, not a curated record